Molecule: non-coding RNA, 243 nt
Organism: Vicia faba (fava bean)
Lineage: Eukaryota; Viridiplantae; Streptophyta; Magnoliopsida; Fabales; Fabaceae
Source: the annotation of a GenBank genome assembly
AUGUGGGAAAACAAGGGUGGACAAGAAGUCACUCAAGCUGAGAUGUUUAUUGAAACACGAAAAAGUCGCAAGGGAAAACAAGUGGAUGAGGAAACCCAAUUUGCAAUUGAUAAACUUCAAGAAUCUAUUGAAAAUUCAACUGAAGCUGGAACACAAACAUUUCAAUCACUGUUUUGGAAAGAAAAGUCCGAUAGAGUGAGAUGUUAUGGAAGAACUGCCACACCGUCAUUGUUGAAAAAAUGA